Molecule: non-coding RNA, 1593 nt
Organism: Heterocephalus glaber (naked mole-rat)
Lineage: Eukaryota; Metazoa; Chordata; Mammalia; Rodentia; Bathyergidae
Source: RefSeq, a predicted model, not a curated record
GUAACAAGUUUCAGUAUUGGUACAUAAUUGAGAUGCACAAAUAUUUUAGUCUUUGAUUUUAAUCCUUACAGUUGCCAAUAUAAUCAUUGAAUAAUGGUUGAUGAAUGUUUCAUUCCUUUCUACUUCAGUUCCCCAUUUAAAAGUGGUGUGUCAAUGGCAAGUCGGCUUUGUAAGGCUGCAAUGUUAAGUAGAUUUAAGCUGCUUGCCAAGGAAGCAAAAAGAGACUAUUUCUUUAAACCAAGUACAUAUUAUGCAGCUAAGAAUAUGUCUGGCUCCUAUCAAGAAGCUAAAACUUUAUUGAAAUCCUACUUACAGCAACAUGGCUAUGGCUCCUGGAUUGUGAAAUCUCCCGAUAUAGAGCAAUUUAAUAUGUGAAUUAGACAAUUCCUUGUCAUAUUAAAAAUCUUUUAUUUUUUGUGUGUUUUGACUGGUAAAAAUGUUUUUAAAAUAUUGGAAGUUUUCAACUUUCAAAAUCAGAGUCUUGUACCAGCAUUGUCUUGAGUAUUGCUAAAAAUUAGUACAUCUUCAUGCCAACUUACAUUGAAACAUUAGGGAUUUUUAAACAUUUUUUCAUUUGUUUUUGAAAAAGAAUUACCUGAUUCAAUGUGUACACAUUUUUUUAAAUUUUUACACAGACAUAGAAUCAUUACUCUUUUGCAGUUUAAAAGAGAAUUCAUUUUGUCAAGAUUUUGCUUUGAAAUCUUGUAAUACACAUGGCUGUAAUAGCCAACAUUGUUUCUGAUAUCAUUUAAAUUUUCUUUUAAUUAAACAUAGAAACCAGGAAUAAAAAUAAUUUGUAUUCAUUUAUUCAACAGGCAUUUAAAUGCUUAGUUUGUUCCACUCACUAUGCUAGAUAAUAGUAAUACAGUAGGUGAAAGAUUCUCAAAUCAAGUUCAUGAUUGCAAACUGUACAUACAAACACAGAAAAAUGUUAAAACCAUAUUAGGUAAGUCAUUUGGUAUAAUUAAUAGAAGAAAUUCAUAUAUGUUUUAAAUAAGAUUGCCCACUGUCAUCAGUCCUACAUGAUCUACUUGUACUAAAUGCUGCUUAGUUCUUCAUAAUUUAGAUUAAUGAGGAUUUCUAAUUUAUAGGUAAAUAAAACUUUAACUUCAUAUUGAUAUUUGUUUAUCCAGCAGUUACCUAAAAAGGAAAGUUUACUCUUCAGUUAAGAUAUAUAUCAUUAAUUAAAUUAUGAGUUUACCCCAUACUUUAGCUACUUUAGCUUCUUUACCAUAUUCCUUGCCAUUCUAUCAGAGAUAUAUUGAACCUUACUGGUUUCCAGGGUUUGCCCUCUUAGCGUGCAUCUGUACCAAAUUUAUGAGUUUUAUGCUAUCCAAUGUAAACUAUUAUAAUCUGAUAAAAUUGGUGUAGCUUGCUUUGCUGUCUGUUCUAAAAGUAUACAGUAGUAGAGUUUAGUUAAUGAAUGGCAAAGUUUUUCUGGAAAGACAUACUUAUGUCUUUUAGUGGUCUAGACUCUAUAUAGUACUUAAAAUAUUAGGAUGAACCAUGUGAAGUGGCCACAUUUUGUAAAUUUAAAAGGAUAAAAUAUAUGCAGUAUCAUGAGCAUCAAGAAAAAUAUAUUAAUAAAUUUCA